GAUCCAUGCAUGGUGAACUGUAGGACGGUAGGAGAACAAGAUAUAUUUAAA
This 51-nucleotide small RNA is filed under the name Arabidopsis thaliana (thale cress). RNAcentral's name for it is "ATSL154300". Lineage: Eukaryota; Viridiplantae; Streptophyta; Magnoliopsida; Brassicales; Brassicaceae. The record is from RNAcentral.